UACGUAGGGGGCAAGCGUUGUCCGGAUUUAUUGGGCGUAAAGAGCGUGUAGGCGGCCAGAUAGGUCCGUUGUGAAAACUGGAGGCUUAACCUCCAGCUGUCGAUGGAAACCAUCUGGCUAGAGUCCGGAAGAGGAGAGUGGAAUUCCUGGUGUAGCGGUGAAGUGCGCAGAUAUCAGGAAGAACACCCGUGGCGAAGGCGGCUCUCUGGGACGGUACUGACGCUGAGACGCGAAAGCGUGGGGAGCGAACAGG
RNAcentral lists this ribosomal RNA (253 nucleotides) under uncultured bacterium. Its description in RNAcentral is "partial 16S ribosomal RNA". It matches the Rfam family "Bacterial small subunit ribosomal RNA", at positions 524 to 776 of the family's 1533-position model. The record is from RNAcentral.